AACGAACGCUGGCGGCAUGCCUAACACAUGCAAGUCGAACGAGACCUUCGGGUCUGGUGGCGCACGGGUGCGUAACGCGUGGGAACCUGCCCUUAGGUUCGGAAUAACUCCCCGAAAGGGGUGCUAAUACCGGAUAAUGUCUUCGGACCAAAGAUUUAUCGCCUUUGGAUGGGCCCGCGUUGGAUUAGCUAGUUGGUAGGGUAAAAGCCUACCAAGGCGACGAUCCAUAGCUGGUCUGAGAGGAUGAUCAGCCACACUGGGACUGAGACACGGCCCAGACUCCUACGGGAGGCAGCAGUGGGGAAUAUUGGACAAUGGGCGAAAGCCUGAUCCAGCAAUGCCGCGUGAGUGAUGAAGGCCUUAGGGUUGUAAAGCUCCUUUACCCGGGAUGAUAAUGACAGUACCGGGAGAAUAAGCUCCGGCUAACUCCGUG
RNAcentral lists this ribosomal RNA (433 nucleotides) under uncultured bacterium. RNAcentral describes it as "partial 16S ribosomal RNA". It matches the Rfam family "Bacterial small subunit ribosomal RNA", at positions 29 to 507 of the family's 1533-position model. The record is from RNAcentral.